Molecule: ribosomal RNA, 420 nt
Filed under: uncultured bacterium
Lineage: Bacteria
Description: bacterial SSU rRNA
Rfam family: Bacterial small subunit ribosomal RNA
Source: RNAcentral
AGCGAACGCUGGCGGCAGGCUUAACACAUGCAAGUCGAGCGGGCAUCCUUCGGGGUGUCAGCGGCAGACGGGUGAGUAACGCGUGGGAACGUACCUUCUGGUUCGGAACAACCCUGGGAAACUAGGGCUAAUACCGGAUACGCCCUUAUGGGGAAAGGUUUACUGCCGGAAGAUCGGCCCGCGUCUGAUUAGCUAGUUGGUGAGGUAACGGCUCACCAAGGCGACGAUCAGUAGCUGGUCUGAGAGGAUGAUCAGCCACACUGGGACUGAGACACGGCCCAGACUCCUACGGGAGGCAGCAGUGGGGAAUAUUGGACAAUGGGCGCAAGCCUGAUCCAGCCAUGCCGCGUGAGUGAUGAAGGCCUUAGGGUUGUAAAGCUCUUUUAUCCGGGACGAUAAUGACGGUACCGGAGGAAUAAG